GCAACGAUGGGGGCCCGCUUAAUACAUGCAAGUCCACCCGACCAAGAGAAAGCCUAGCUUUCUUCAGGUUAGCGGCGGACGGGUGAGUAACACGUGGGUAACCUGCCCUAUAGACUGGGAUAACUCGCGGAAACGCGUGCUAAUACCGGAUAACACAUCAAAGUGCAUGCUUUGAUGUUGAAAGAUGGUUCUGCUAUCACUAUAGGAUGGGCCCGCGGCGCAUUAGCUUGUUGGUGGGGUAACGGCCUACCAAGGCGACGAUGCGUAGCCGACCUGAGAGGGUGAUCGGCCACACUGGGACUGAGACACGGCCCAGACUCCUACGGGAGGCAGCAGUAGGGAAUCUUCCACAAUGGGCGAAAGCCUGAUGGAGCAACGCCGCGUGAGCGAAGAAGGUCUUCGGAUCGUAAAGCUCUGUUGUAAGGGAAGAACAAGUGCAGUAGUAACUGGCUGCACCUUGACGGUACCUUACUAGAAAGCCACGGCUAACUACGUGCCAGCAGCCGCGGUAAUACGUAGGUGGCAAGCGUUGUCCGGAAUUAUUGGGCGUAAAGUGGCAUGGUUGUCGUCAGCUCGUGUCGUGAGAUGUUGGGUUAAGUCCCGCAACGAGCGCAACCCUUGUCCUUAGUUGCCAUCAUUCAGUUGGGCACUCUAAGGAGNCUGCCGUACAAAUACGGAGGAAGGUGGGGAUGACGUCAAAUCAUCAUGCCCCUUAUGACCUGGGCUACACACGUGCUACAAUGGACGGUACAAACGGUCGCGAAGUCGCGAGACGGAGCCAAUCCGAAAAAACCGUUCUCAGUUCGGAUUGCAGGCUGCAACUCGCCUGCAUGAAGCCGGAAUCGCUAGUAAUCGCGGAUCAGCAUGCCGNGGNNAAUACGUUCCCGGGCCUUGUACACACCGCCCGUCACACCNCNAGAGUCUGUNGGAAAACGAAGUCGCUUUUNUCUUCCCANAAGNNAAACCACCCNCCNANUNG
Molecule: ribosomal RNA, 979 nt
Filed under: Ureibacillus sp. A3.03
Lineage: Bacteria; Bacillati; Bacillota; Bacilli; Caryophanales; Caryophanaceae
Description: bacterial SSU rRNA
Rfam family: Bacterial small subunit ribosomal RNA
Source: RNAcentral